This 439-nucleotide long non-coding RNA is filed under the name Pelusios castaneus (West African mud turtle). RNAcentral's name for it is "lncRNA (ENSPCEG00000019259.1)". The record is from RNAcentral. Lineage: Eukaryota; Metazoa; Chordata; Testudines; Pelomedusidae.
GAAGGGCAAGGCAAGGAGCCCGGCUGAGGCUGCGCAGAAAGCUCUGACACAAUUGUGCUUCCUGAUUGUCGCCUCCUGCCUGCAAGCCACUGAACGUUUCCCACUUGAUAUCAUCAUGCAGAAAGGGAGAAGCGAGACGCAAUGAGAGAUUCAGGAUUUACAACAUUGUCAGGAAAAUUCUCUCCCCCUUCCGCAUACAUCCUUUUAUUUACAAUAGAAGUAAAGAAAAGAGUUCAGUGCUUCACCUGUAACGUCUGUCAGUUUUCAACAGUGGUGACACUUGUACAGCAGGCAAGAAAAUGAGGAUGAAGGAAAAUGAGGACAGUUAUUUUGUAUGGAAAAAGCUGUUUUGGCCACCCCUGGCAAAAGCACUUGUAUGCAAGUCACAUAGUCUCCUUGGAAGAUUUGGCCAAUGCUUUGGAAUGUCCACAUUGAUGCC